This 435-nucleotide ribosomal RNA is filed under the name uncultured bacterium. RNAcentral's name for it is "partial 16S ribosomal RNA". It matches the Rfam family "Bacterial small subunit ribosomal RNA", at positions 29 to 507 of the family's 1533-position model. The record is from RNAcentral.
AGCGAACGCUGGCGGCAGGCUUAACACAUGCAAGUCGAGCGGGCAUCUUCGGAUGUCAGCGGCAGACGGGUGAGUAACACGUGGGAACGUACCCUUCGGUUCGGAACAACUCUGGGAAACUGGAGCUAAUACCGGAUACGCCCUUAUGGGGAAAGGUUUACUGCCGAGGGAUCGGCCCGCGUCUGAUUAGCUAGUUGGUGGGGUAACGGCCUACCAAGGCGACGAUCAGUAGCUGGUCUGAGAGGAUGAUCAGCCACACUGGGACUGAGACACGGCCCAGACUCCUACGGGAGGCAGCAGUGGGGAAUAUUGGACAAUGGGCGCAAGCCUGAUCCAGCCAUGCCGCGUGAGUGAUGAAGGCCUUAGGGUUGUAAAGCUCUUUUGUCCGGGACGAUAAUGACGGUACCGGAAGAAUAAGCCCCGGCUAACUUCGUG